This 423-nucleotide long non-coding RNA is filed under the name Salvia miltiorrhiza (redroot sage). RNAcentral describes it as "long non-coding RNA (SMIL_LNC002575)". The record is from RNAcentral. Lineage: Eukaryota; Viridiplantae; Streptophyta; Magnoliopsida; Lamiales; Lamiaceae.
GCAAUAAUCAUCUCAAAAACAAAACAAUCACACCAAGCAAGAUAAAACAAUAAAGCUAACAAAAAUAAUAAAAGUGAUACACAUAUCUACUCUCACCCCCUCCCCCAAACUUAUUACAGAACAUAAGUUCGAAAAUAAGUUUGGAGGGAUGAUGAUAUGUGUGUCACUACUUACAGAAACACAUGCUCCAAGGUGGUGGUAUGGACCUUGCGCUCUUCCUGCAUCUUCCAAGCUUCAACUAUACUAAUACCUCAAAACAAAGAAAACAAAGAAACAAAAAGCAACUAAAAGAAAGAAAAACAAAACAAAGAAAACGGUUGGGUUACCUCCCAACAAGUGCUUAAUUUAACGUCUAGAGCUCGACGAUACCUCAUGGCCUCAAUGAACAUCAAAUGCAGCGGGCGUGACAGACCGCCUAACACG